UGAUAAGGUCCGUGUUCGAAAGGGAAACAGCCCAGACCACCAGCUAAGGUCCCAAAAUAUAUGUUAAGUGGAAAAGGAUGUGGCGUUGCCCAGACAACUAGGAUGUUGGCUUAGAAGCAGCCAUCAUUUAAAGAGUGCGUAAUAGCUCACUAGUCGAGUGACACUGCGCCGAAAAUGUACCGGGGCUAAACAUAUUACCGAAGCUGUGGAUUGUCCUUUGGACAAUGGUAGGAGAGCGUUCUAAGGGCGUUGAAGCAUGAUCGUAAGGACAUGUGGAGCGCUUAGAAGUGAGAAUGCCGGUGUGAGUAGCGAAAGACGGGUGAGAAUCCCGUCCACCGAUUGACUAAGGUUUCCAGAGGAAGGCUCGUCCGCUCUGGGUUAGUCGGGUCCUAAGCUGAGGCCGACAGGCGUAGGCGAUGGAUAACAGGUUGAUAUUCCUGUACCACCUAUAAUCGUUUUAAUCGAUGGGGGGACGCAGUAGGAUAGGCGAAGCGUGCGAUUGGAUUGCACGUCUAAGCAGUAAGGCUGAGUAUUAGGCAAAUCCGGUACUCGUUAAGGCUGAGCUGUGAUGGGGAGAAGACAUUGUGUCUUCGAGUCGUUGAUUUCACACUGCCGAGAAAAGCCUCUAGAUAGAAAAUAGGUGCCCGUACCGCAAACCGACACAGGUAGUCAAGAUGAGAAUUCUAAGGUGAGCGAGCGAACUCUCGUUAAGGAACUCGGCAAAAUGACCCCGUAACUUCGGGAGAAGGGGUGCUCUUUAGGGUUAACGCCCAGAAGAGCCGCAGUGAAUAGGCCCAAGCGACUGUUUAUCAAAAACACAGGUCUCUGCUAAACCGUAAGGUGAUGUAUAGGGGCUGACGCCUGCCCGGUGCUGGAAGGUUAAGAGGAGUGGUUAGCUUCUGCGAAGCUACGAAUCGAAGCCCCAGUAAACGGCGGCCGUAACUAUAACGGUCCUAAGGUAGCGAAAUUCCUUGUCGGGUAAGUUCCGACCCGCACGAAAGGCGUAACGAUUUGGGCACUGUCUCAACGAGAGACUCGGUGAAAUCAUAGUACCUGUGAAGAUGCAGGUUACCCGCGACAGGACGGAAAGACCCCGUGGAGCUUUACUGUAGCC
RNAcentral lists this ribosomal RNA (1114 nucleotides) under Staphylococcus aureus. RNAcentral's name for it is "partial 23S ribosomal RNA". It matches the Rfam family "Bacterial large subunit ribosomal RNA", at positions 996 to 2111 of the family's 2925-position model. The record is from RNAcentral. Lineage: Bacteria; Bacillati; Bacillota; Bacilli; Caryophanales; Staphylococcaceae.